RNAcentral lists this ribosomal RNA (2929 nucleotides) under Escherichia coli. RNAcentral's name for it is "23S ribosomal RNA". It matches the Rfam family "Bacterial large subunit ribosomal RNA". Lineage: Bacteria; Pseudomonadati; Pseudomonadota; Gammaproteobacteria; Enterobacterales; Enterobacteriaceae. The record is from RNAcentral.
GGGUUGUGAGGUUAAGCGACUAAGCGUACACGGUGGAUGCCCCGGCAGUCAGAGGCGAUGAAGGACGUGCUAAUCUGCGAUAAGCGUCGGUAAGGUGAUAUGAACCGUUAUAACCGGCGAUUUCCGAAUGGGGAAACCCAGUGUGUUUCGACACACUAUCAUUAACUGAAUCCAUAGGUUAAUGAGGCGAACCGGGGAACUGAAACAUCUAAGUACCCCGAGGAAAAGAAAUCAACCGAGAUUCCCCAGUAGCGGCGAGCGAACGGGGAGCAGCCCAGAGCCUGAAUCAGUGUGUGUGUUAGUGGAAGCGUCUGGAAAGGCGCGCGAUACAGGGUGACAGCCCCGUACACAAAAAUGCACAUGCUGUGAGCUCGAUGAGUAGGGCGGGACACGUGGUAUCCUGUCUGAAUAUGGGGGGACCAUCCUCCAAGGCUAAAUACUCCUGACUGACCGAUAGUGAACCAGUACCGUGAGGGAAAGGCGAAAAGAACCCCGGCGAGGGGAGUGAAAAAGAACCUGAAACCGUGUACGUACAAGCAGUGGGAGCACGCUUAGGCGUGUGACUGCGUACCUUUUGUAUAAUGGGUCAGCGACUUAUAUUCUGUAGCAAGGUUAACCGAAUAGGGGAGCCGAAGGGAAACCGAGUCUUAACUGGGCGUUAAGUUGCAGGGUAUAGACCCGAAACCCGGUGAUCUAGCCAUGGGCAGGUUGAAGGUUGGGUAACACUAACUGGAGGACCGAACCGACUAAUGUUGAAAAAUUAGCGGAUGACUUGUGGCUGGGGGUGAAAGGCCAAUCAAACCGGGAGAUAGCUGGUUCUCCCCGAAAGCUAUUUAGGUAGCGCCUCGUGAAUUCAUCUCCGGGGGUAGAGCACUGUUUCGGCAAGGGGGUCAUCCCGACUUACCAACCCGAUGCAAACUGCGAAUACCGGAGAAUGUUAUCACGGGAGACACACGGCGGGUGCUAACGUCCGUCGUGAAGAGGGAAACAACCCAGACCGCCAGCUAAGGUCCCAAAGUCAUGGUUAAGUGGGAAACGAUGUGGGAAGGCCCAGACAGCCAGGAUGUUGGCUUAGAAGCAGCCAUCAUUUAAAGAAAGCGUAAUAGCUCACUGGUCGAGUCGGCCUGCGCGGAAGAUGUAACGGGGCUAAACCAUGCACCGAAGCUGCGGCAGCGACGCUGAUGCGUUGUUGGGUAGGGGAGCGUUCUGUAAGCCUGCGAAGGUGUGCUGUGAGGCAUGCUGGAGGUAUCAGAAGUGCGAAUGCUGACAUAAGUAACGAUAAAGCGGGUGAAAAGCCCGCUCGCCGGAAGACCAAGGGUUCCUGUCCAACGUUAAUCGGGGCAGGGUGAGUCGACCCCUAAGGCGAGGCCGAAAGGCGUAGUCGAUGGGAAACAGGUUAAUAUUCCUGUACUUGGUGUUACUGCGAAGGGGGGACGGAGAAGGCUAUGUUGGCCGGGCGACGGUUGUCCCGGUUUAAGCGUGUAGGCUGGUUUUCCAGGCAAAUCCGGAAAAUCAAGGCUGAGGCGUGAUGACGAGGCACUACGGUGCUGAAGCAACAAAUGCCCUGCUUCCAGGAAAAGCCUCUAAGCAUCAGGUAACAUCAAAUCGUACCCCAAACCGACACAGGUGGUCAGGUAGAGAAUACCAAGGCGCUUGAGAGAACUCGGGUGAAGGAACUAGGCAAAAUGGUGCCGUAACUUCGGGAGAAGGCACGCUGAUAUGUAGGUGAGGUCCCUCGCGGAUGGAGCUGAAAUCAGUCGAAGAUACCAGCUGGCUGCAACUGUUUAUUAAAAACACAGCACUGUGCAAACACGAAAGUGGACGUAUACGGUGUGACGCCUGCCCGGUGCCGGAAGGUUAAUUGAUGGGGUUAGCGCAAGCGAAGCUCUUGAUCGAAGCCCCGGUAAACGGCGGCCGUAACUAUAACGGUCCUAAGGUAGCGAAAUUCCUUGUCGGGUAAGUUCCGACCUGCACGAAUGGCGUAAUGAUGGCGGGCUGUCUCCACCCGAGACUCAGUGAAAUUGAACUCGCUGUGAAGAUGCAGUGUACCCGCGGCAAGACGGAAAGACCCCGUGAACCUUUACUAUAGCUUGACACUGAACAUUGAGCCUUGAUGUGUAGGAUAGGUGGGAGGCUUAGAAGUGUGGACGCCAGUCUGCAUGGAGCCGACCUUGAAAUACCACCCUUUAAUGUUUGAUGUUCUAACGUUGACCCGUAAUCCGGGUUGCGGACAGUGUCUGGUGGGUAGUUUGACUGGGGCGGUCUCCUCCUAAAGAGUAACGGAGGAGCACGAAGGUUGGCUAAUCCCGGUCGGACAUCAGGAGGUUAGUGCAAUGGCAUAAGCCAGCUUGACUGCGAGCGUGACGGCGCGAGCAGGUGCGAAAGCAGGUCAUAGUGAUCCGGUGGUUCUGAAUGGAAGGGCCAUCGCUCAACGGAUAAAAGGUACUCCGGGGAUAACAGGCUGAUACCGCCCAAGAGUUCAUAUCGACGGCGGUGUUUGGCACCUCGAUGUCGGCUCAUCACAUCCUGGGGCUGAAGUAGGUCCCAAGGGUAUGGCUGUUCGCCAUUUAAAGUGGUACGCGAGCUGGGUUUAGAACGUCGUGAGACAGUUCGGUCCCCUAUCUGCCGUGGGCGCUGGAGAACUGAGGGGGGCUGCUCCUAGUACGAGAGGACCGGAGUGGACGCAUCACUGGUGUUCGGGUUGUCAUGCCAAUGGCACUGCCCGGUAGCUAAAUGCGGAAGAGAUAAGUGCUGAAAGCAUCUAAGCACGAAACUUGCCCCGAGAUGAGUUCUCCCUGACUCCUUGAGAGUCCUGAAGGAACGUUGAAGACGACGACGUUGAUAGGCCGGGUGUGUAAGCGCAGCGAUGCGUUGAGCUAACCGGUACUAAUGAACCGUGAGGCUUAACCUUACAACGCCGAAGGUGUUU